Long non-coding RNA from Durio zibethinus, 1514 nucleotides. RefSeq lists it as uncharacterized. The record is from RefSeq and is a predicted model, not a curated record. NCBI's taxonomy places the organism in Eukaryota, Viridiplantae, Streptophyta, Magnoliopsida, Malvales, Malvaceae.
UCUGUAUUUUCUCCUCUGUUCCCUCUGGACCUCCUUUACCAACCGAACCCAACCCCAACCCCAGCCCCAGCCGAUCCUAAUCAAACCCAUCGUGACCUCGCCUAUGCCGGCCAGAACCCGUCGCCGCUCGACUUUUUGGCUGCCAGAACCUUCGCGACCCUUCCCCUCCGACGCCCGUUCUGCCCCUACGCUACCCUCCCCUCUCGACACCACCUCUGCCUCUCCCUGUCCCCCACGGCCUCCGUUGCUUCCCCCUUCUUUCUCAUCCCAUUCUCACACUCUCAUCUCAGUCUCUCACCAAGAGGAGUGCCCUGUCUUGCAACUCUCACUUCACUCGUAGUUGUGCUGAAAUUUGCAAAUUUUUCAAAAAAAACAAAAGGGUAAUUACUGUUAAAUGUUUCAGGUUUACCAUCUGAGGAUAAAAAUGGAGAAAGGAGAGCUUAGAGCAGGGAAAUCCUUGGAAGAAAUCCCAACUUGGACUGGUGCUACUGUGGUCACUGUUAUGGUUUCUUUUGGUUUCCUGUGUUAUCACUCUUUGAAAAAGUUUGGGAAGAAUUGAUGCCUUUUGGGUUUCUCUCGUUGUUGAUGGGUCAUUGGAUUGCAUUGUUUGCUAAAAUUUGUGUCAAAUUGUCAGCCUUACAACCUGUGAUAGAUCUUUUGCUGGAUUUGCAUCUGAUGAACGUGGAACCAGAGCUGCAACUUUCAGAUUUUAUUAAGGCUGGAGCAGACAUAUUCAGUUUUCUCUCUUAGCAAUCUUUAACCAUCCAUUUGCAUCAUACACUUAAUCAAGUAAGAAUUUUCUUUCUCUGAGUCUUUCUACUAUUUUUUCCAUGAUAAAUUGGGGAAUCUACACUAGCAGUUAUUUCGUUUCAUAACAGCUGCUUAUCAAAUGAACUGUUGAUUAACCCACAUUAACUUUACAUACAAGAUGUGAAUGGAGUGAGCAAAUAUUAUCUUCAGCUCAAGUGAAUCCCAAACUUGAAUGCAUUUCAAUUAGUGAGGUCAUAUAAACCAGAAAAGUAAGCCAUGUUUUCUCAUGCACAAUUUCACUUGCUUUUUCACUUGGAAGUUGUCAUCUAAUAUUAUUUUGGAAUAUUGCUAUAUGGAUACCUACUUUAGGUUGAAAACUAGCAAUGAAGAAACUUUAUUUGACAAAUCUUUUACCCUGUAUCUGGGCUUCAUACCACAUGAUAUGCUAAUGGGACAGGAAUGUUCAGAAUUCUUAGGAGCCUAUUAAAGCUGGUUCUGUGUUUUGAACUUAUUUGUCUUCACUAUUCUUCAGAGACAUGACCAAAGAAUUAGGCAUUGACGCUUGAUCAGGACAUUUGUAAUGGCUGCAUAAUGUUCUGUUCUGUAUUUGCGCCCUAUUUUUGUUGCUACAGCUUUGGUGCAUGGCGCAUUACUGGAUAUGUAAGCUUUAUGUUUGUAGGUGUAAAGUUAGUAAAAAUUAUGUAAACUUUAAAACUUUAUGGUGCAUUACUGGAUAUUUUGCCUUCAAUUUGAAGUUUUAACAA